Molecule: long non-coding RNA, 10053 nt
Filed under: Ricinus communis (castor bean)
Lineage: Eukaryota; Viridiplantae; Streptophyta; Magnoliopsida; Malpighiales; Euphorbiaceae
Description: long non-coding RNA (RCOM_LNC002176)
Source: RNAcentral
ACAGAGGAUAAUAGAUCACUUAGAAAUUUGUUCUGGUAUUGGUUGCUGAUGUGCGGUACAUUUUUCAGGAGAAACAAAGCAAUUAUUAAAGAAUUAAGCACUUCAGCUCCUGGUUCAAAGGGCCUCUAUUUCCCUACACAGUACUCCCAGUCCUUUUUAACCCAAUGCAUAGCUUGCUUAUGGAAGCAACGGUUGUCAUACUGGCGGAAUCCACCAUAUACUGCUGUCAGAUUUCUGUUCACCACCUUUAUAGCAUUGAUGUUCGGGACAAUGUUCUGGGAUCUUGGCUCCAAAACGUAAGUUAUGUAGUAGUACUAAAACCGUUAGUGGUUCAUACUAAUGUUGUAUUUAUGCCUUCCAAUCUUAUUUCUCCUUGAACUAUAGGAGGACGCAACAAGACAUUUUUAAUUCUGCGGGUUCAAUGUACGGAGCAGUUGUCUUUCUAGGGACACAAAAUGCGGCAUCUGUGCAACCGGUUGUAGCAAUUGAAAGAACUGUCUUCUAUAGAGAAAGAGCUGCCGGAAUGUAUUCAGCUUUGCCUUAUGCCUAUGCGCAGGUAACAAGUCUUUUCUUGUUUUAAUGGAACAUUCGUCAGGUAGAACAUUCUGGAUUUAUUCUUAACAAACUUCGAAUCUCUGGCCACAGGUCCUGGUUGAGAUUCCAUACAUUUUUGCUCAAGCAGUUGUAUAUGGUCUUUUAACAUACUCAAUGAUUGGAUUCGAAUGGACUGCUGCUAAGUUCUUUUGGUAUAUAUUCUUCAUGUACUUCACAUUGAUGUACUUCACCUACUACGGAAUGAUGGCUGUUGCCGUGACGCCAAAUCACCACAUUGCAUCCAUAGUUUCUUCAGCAUUUUAUGGAAUUUGGAACCUCUUUUCAGGAUUUAUUGUCCCAAGAACCGUAAGCGUUUCAUGGCCUUUCGUCGUUUUAAAAUUUUACAGGUUUAUGUUGUCUGUAGCUUAUAGUUGUUCUUUGGACUGACUUUAUUCUACCAAUUCUGUAAUCUGACAGAGGAUGCCUGUAUGGUGGAGAUGGUAUUACUGGGCAUGUCCAGUGUCAUGGACCUUGUACGGAUUGAUUGGGUCGCAGUUUGCAGAUAUAAAAGAUUCAUUUGAAGGUGGGAGCCAAACAGUGGAAGAUUUUGUAAGAGAGUACUAUGGUAUCAGACAUGAUUUUCUCGGAGUAGUUGCAGCUGUGAUUGUCGGGACUACUGUACUAUUUCCUUUUAUUUUCGCUGUUUCUGUCAAGUCCUUUAACUUCCAAAGGAGAUAAAGAUUUAGUUUGUUGUCUUAUUAUUCUUAUUCUUUGGUUUAUAGCUGUAGGCAUUAUAAUGAAGAAAUUCUAAAUUUGUUAAACAUUUUCUUAGGAACAUUACAUCCAUUUUUUGUAUAGUAAUGAUACAAGGAAAUGUUUCUGUAUUCCUACUGGUGUAUUUGUAGUUCACUUCAGUCAUCCCGGACAGAUGAUGAUGAAAUAAACAUGAUAGAAAUGAAAUAAAAUGAUCCUUCAAUUUGUGGGUGGCUAGUAUUUAAUUUCUGAAUCAAUCAAAGUUGAUGAAUGAAAAUAGAUAAUAUCAAUAAACUUUAGGCUUCAAUUCAAGCAUAUUCACAAAAAAGAAAAGACUUCAUUAAUAGAAAAAUUGCUUAUUGAAUUAAUUCUUAGACAGAGUGUAAGUUUGCCAAGUUCUACAUCAUCAACCCAAAGACACAACUAACUGUUUAUUAUGCCUUCCCUAGACAUGUAUAUUUAACAAAAAUAAACCAUGUUAAUUAAUGAUACUACAUCCCGGAUAAUAAUUGAUUUUAAAUAUUUUAUUAAUCAUAUAUCUCCACAGUUAAGUUAAAUUAAAUUAUGAAAAGUGAGGUGACAUCAUUAAUCGAUGCGUUAAUUUUUAUUGUGUGUAUCAAUAAACGAUAUUAAAUGCUGAAAAUUGGUUUUCAUAUACUCACACUAAUUUCUAUUUAGACUGUGAUAUGAUGGUUUAGUAAUUAAUCCUCUCACCUCAUAUAAUUCUACGUAUCUAAUUUUCUUUCUCUGUCAAUACCAAGAAACUAUCAUUGAUGAAAGAAAAACCAGUACAACUGGCUAAGCCAAAAAAAGAAACAGGAAAACAGUUAGCCCAUACUAAGAGCAGCAAAUAUGUUAAUAACAUCUGCAGCAUGUCUACUGCUACGACUUUUUGAAUUACAUCAUUGACUUGAACUGUAAAAUUCUGGAAGACCUGUUGAUUCCUGCUUCUCCAAAUAUGGUGCACUGUUGCUGCCAAAACCGACCUUCUCAACUUCCGUAAUUGGUUUUUGCCAGACGUCUCUCGCAAAAAACCAGCUGAUCUCCAGGUGCACUUACUUCUGCUAAUGUUACGAGCCAUCAGCAUCCCUGUUCCAAAUAGCUGCUGCAUACGGAAAAUAGAAAGAAAAAAAAAGAGAGAAAGAUAUGGGGAAUAGUCUCUUGUAAGUACAGAGGAUGAACGUGUCAUUAUUAACAACCCCCCGAGUUUUCAACUGAUCUUUGGUUCUUAGCUUUGUCUUAAUAAUCAACCAAGGAAUAUAAUUAUGUCUACCAAUAUGAUCUGCUUGAUCCGUAAUACUUCUUUCUCCAUUCUACUCCGACAGCUUCAUCACUGAGAAAGUUCCAAGCGCUGGAAAUGGAGAAUUCUCCAUUAAUGGUACACUUCCAGGCGAUAUAACAUUAUGUUGAAUACUCCAGGGGUUUCUUAACCCUAGCAUAAACACUUUUCUUAACAACCACUUUUCCUGCAUUAUCAAAGUCCAUUACUGUAAAGCUCUUAAUAAGGAAAGGAUAGUGCUACAGUAAUGAAUGAUUUUGUUGGUCAUCUCAAAGAUCUCACGUGAGCUUGUCACUGCUUGUCCUGAAUUGCUGGUGUUCCAUUUAAUAAUAUUAAGUCCAAACUUUUCUCUCAAGUAAGAGAUAGAACGGACUUUUUUUUUUUAAGACAAUGGACUAUUAGUAUAUAGUCAAGUUCCAAAAUAUUUAAUUAUUAUUUUCUAUUCAAAGAAAUGUUAUGCUUUAUGAGAAACUUUGUUUAGCCUAAAUGAAUAUUCAUAAAAUACGCGGUGGUCCAAAAUCCCAUUCAAACGGUAGAAUUUCUAAAAUCUACCAUUUUUUUAUGGAGAAAUUAUUGUAUUAAAAAAAUUUAAAUUCGAAUAUUCUCAUUGUUAGUAAUGAUAUAUUACUUUUAUCGUGUAUAAAUGGAUCACUAAAAAUAAAAGAAAUUUGGAGGAAUUCAAUGUUGUAAAAUGGGAAUUGAGUUAAGCUAAAAAAGAUAAAUAAAUAGAAGCUUCAAGGAAAGAUUUUGUGCAUGUUUCUGCUAUUCUUUUUGGAUGUUCAUCAAUUAAAAAUUGAAACUUGAUCCUCAAGAGUCUCGUGCAUAUUCUUGCCUUGUCUGUGUACGGGUCUGAACUUUUUUUUUUUUUUUUUUGGAGAUGUACGUAGAAGUUCACCAGUUGACCAUACACAUUAAAUAUAUAGUCUCUUACAAACGAAUAAGUAAAAGCUGUGAAAUGCUUCACUUUUAUAAUCUCAGCUUCCAAGUAGUUGGAUUCCGACAUCAUUGCUAAUGUCUGUUAGAUUCAUUACUUUAUAUUAUCCUUUUCUUUUUUCUUUAGUUCAGUUCAAAUUAAUCCAAUAUCGUUUCCUUCUCCAAUUGCUUUCACAUGAUUUUAAGUAACUUACCAUUUAUGCAUCACUUGGGGCUCUUUUAGAGGGCCGUGGGAGCCAAGCAGAUUUAAUUAUCUACAUACUAUAGAUUCUUGAAAUUUCUGGUAGAAAAAGAAUUUAAAGAGAAAACAUAUUUAAGUUUGACGAGUCAGCCGCCAGUUCAGUUAUAAUCACUAUAAAUAGCUUGUUCCUCAAGGGAAAUGGCAUUGCAUAGUUUGUGCGCUCUUUCAGCACUAAGAGCCCAACAAUAUAUUACGAAGUUUCAAAAUCAAGAAAAAGAGUUAAAGACAAGAUUUGGGUUUGGGUGGGUUUUUCUAUUUUUAUUAUAUACGGAAUCACAUUCAUUUUGAUUCUUUUUCAAACAAUGGAGGGUGGUGGCCUCUAUAGAGCUGCUAGUAGUAGUUUAAGAAGAGGAGGGUCUUCUAUAUGGACAAAUAAUACAAUACCUGAUAUAUUUUCAAUGUCUUCGAGAGAAGAAGAUGAUGAAGAAGCUCUUAAAUGGGCUGCUCUUGAAAGGUUACCUACUUAUGAUCGUUUGAGGAAAGGUAUAUUGUUUAGUGCAUCAAGAAAUGGAGCUAAUGAGAUUGAUGUUGGUAGUCUUGGAUUCCAUGAAAGGAAACUUUUGCUUGAGAGAUUACUGAGAGUCGUUGAAGAAGAUAAUGAGGAGUUCUUGUUGAAGCUCAAGAACCGUAUUGAUAGGUAAAGAUUUCUACUGGUUCUUCUUNNNACUUUUUAGUUAAUGCGUCUCUGAUGGGGAAAGAUUGGGCUUUUAGGUUAGUAGUUAAGUCUCAUGUAGUCCAGGAGCUUUCCUCUUUAAGAAUUUCUGCAGUAACCAAAUGCCUAUAUAUGGCAAUGAGAUAAUAAAUCUUUGCUGUUCUUAUCAUAUAGGAUUUGAAUGUUGGAAAUGUGUUCGAUCGAAUUUGAGACUGAUUGAGUCAAAUAGUUAGAAUAGAAUAAUAGCUGCGAUGUUCUUUUUUCUUACGAUUAUUUCUCUAAUUUCUUGGUCUUUUAGAGUUGGAAUUGAACUUCCAACAAUUGAAGUUCGGUUUGAGAACCUAAAUAUUGAAGCUGAAGCCUUUGUAGGAAGCAGAGCUUUGCCUACAUUCGUUAAUUUCUCUAUUAAUUUAUUUGAGGUAAGUACUUCCAAAGAUUGAAUCUUGCUAAUUUUGGCAUGUUAUGUUUUUCUUGUAAACUAAAUAUCCUUUGAUUUUAAAGGGCUUUUUGAAUUCUCUUCACAUUCUUCCAAGUAGAAAAAAACAACUGACCAUCCUCAAGGACGUUAGUGGAGUCAUCAAGCCAUCAAGGUGAGACAAGUUUGAUCUUUAACUAUAAUUACUUGGGUCAAAUGAUAACAUAUUUGUACUGAAAACGUUUUGCAACUUUUCUAAUUGAUCUUUUGGUGUUUGCAUAUAAUCCAGGAUGACUUUACUUUUGGGUCCUCCAAGUUCUGGAAAGACUACGCUUUUGUUAGCUUUGGCUGGAAAGCUUGAUCCUAACUUGAAGGUAGUAAUACAUUAUCAUGGCUUUAUAACUUCCUCGAGAACUUUUAGCAUUCAAUGUUAAUACUGAAUUUCUCUUUCAGUUUUCUGGUAAUGUGACUUAUAAUGGUCACGGAAUGAAUGAAUUCAUACCACAAAGCACUGCUGCCUAUAUCAGUCAACAUGAUCUUCAUAUAGGAGAAAUGACUGUAAGAGAGACUUUGUCAUUUUCCGUCAGAUGCCAAGGGGUUGGAACCCGAAAUGGUCAGAAUACCUUUUAUUUAAACCAUAUUCUUAAGAUGUGUCCCGAUCAUGACCUAUAGACAAUCUAAAUGUGAAUGUUUAUGAGAGAAAAUCUGGCAAUUUUGCAGAUAUGUUAGUUGAGUUGUCUAGAAGAGAGAAAGCAGCAAAUAUUAAACCUGAUCCGGAUAUUGAUGUUUUCAUGAAGGUAAGUAAAGAAAUCAUAAAAAUGAAAAGGAAUUGGCAUGAAAAGGCACAAAAUAUCCCUUUAUGUUUUUUGCUCAAUAAACAUUGCAAUAACACAAUCUAGAACAAGCUGCAAUAGUGGAGAUUGAUUAUCUUCUUCUGGUAUAUUUAUGCUGUCACAGGCUGUAGCAACAGAAGGCCAGGAGACCAAUGUGGUCACAGAUUAUGUUUUGAAGGUAUUAUCAUCGAAAAGUACUUUAGUGCCUUCAAGUAUCAUAAAAAAUUAAUAUUAUUGAAAUACCUUAUUUAAGGACUAUUAUCACUUUUAUUUUACAGAUAUUAGGAUUAGAAGUCUGUGCAGAUACCUUGGUUGGAGAUGAAAUGUUAAGAGGCAUCUCCGGUGGACAAAGGAAGCGUGUAACAACAGGUGAAUGGAAUUCACCAGUCUAUUCCUAACCCCAAAAAAGAUUCAAUUAUUUCCCUUUCACAUUUACAACUGUGUCUAAAGUGAUAUCUUCAAUGUUCAAAAUGAAGGUGAAAUGCUGGUUGGGCCAGCGAGGGCAUUGUUUAUGGAUGAGAUAUCCACUGGCUUAGACAGCUCCACAACUUACCAAAUUGUGAACUCACUUAAGCAAACCAUUCAUAUUCUUGAUGGAACUGCUGUCAUUUCUCUCCUCCAGCCAGCCCCAGAGACUUAUGAUCUCUUUGAUGACAUUAUUCUGCUGUCUGAUGGCCAGAUUGUUUACCAGGGUCCUCGGGAACAUGUGCUUGAGUUUUUUGAAUAUAUGGGCUUCAAGUGUCCUGAAAGAAAAGGCGUGGCAGAUUUCUUGCAAGAAGUAAGCAUAAGUGUAGUAGUUCUAUCUUUCUUUCUUAAUAAGCCUUAUUUGUGAGAUUCCAAAACACUUGAGAAUGAAAAAUUAAUUGCAGGUGACAUCAAAGAAUGAUCAGAAGCAAUAUUGGGUACAAAAAGAUCAGCCUUACAGUUUUGUCACAGUACAAGAAUUUUCUGAGGCAUUCCAAUCAUAUGAUGUGGGUCAAAUAAUAGGACAAGAGCUUUCAACCCCAUUUGAUAAAUCCAAAAGCCAUCCUGCUGCUUUGGCAGCGAGAAAGUAUGGUGUUGAUAAGAUGGAGCUGCUUAAAGCUUGUUUCGCAAGAGAGUACUUGCUAAUGAAGAGGAAUUCAUUUGUUUAUAUCUUCAAGCUCACGCAAGUAAUUAUCAACAGAAUUUACAUUUUCCUAGUUUCCAUGUUACAGCAAAUUUCCUAUUUCUCAAACAACAGAAUUUUGUCCUUGCUUCUAGCUUGUAGUUAUGGCAAUUAUAUCUAUGACACUCUUCUUGCGAACUGAGAUGCAUCGAGAAGACCUCACGGAUGCAGGAGUGUAUUUGGGCGCCUUGUUCUUCUCUUUGAUCGCGAUCAUGUUCAAUGGCAUGUCAGAGCUAUCCAUGACCAUUGCAAAGCUUCCUGUGUUUUACAAGCAAAGGGACCUCCAAUUCUAUCCUCCAUGGGCAUAUGCGCUUCCCACAUGGAUACUUAAAAUUCCUAUUACGUUUUUCGAAGUUGGUGUUUGGGUUUUUAUCACCUAUUAUGUCAUCGGAUUUGAUCCUAAUGUUGAAAGGUAAGAAGGAAAAGAAAAUAAAGAGAAGGAAAAGAAAGGAAAAUAACUAUGUUGAUUAAAAUAUCAUGUAAAGCAAUGUGUUCUGCUCCAGCUGAUACAAAUUGUUACGACUGCAGAUUAUUCAAGCAGUACUUUCUGCUCUUAAUUGUUAACCAGAUGGCCUCCGGACUAUUCCGAUUUAUAGCUGCAGUAGGAAGGAACAUGAUUGUUGCUAACACAUUUGGAUCAUUUGCGCUACUUACAGUUUUUGCAUUGGGCGGCAUAGUCCUGUCACGAGGUACAUCUUGUAAACUAGUGUGUUUGGCUGACUAAUUUUUGGGAUAUCAAACAAGAAUGGCAAGGAAUCAAUUUUUUUUUUUCCUCCUUGUUAUAUUAAACAGAUGACAUUAAGAAAUGGUGGACAUGGGGUUACUGGAUCUCACCAAUGAUGUAUGGGCAGAAUGCAUUAGUAGCUAAUGAGUUCUUAGGAGAGAGCUGGAAUCAUGUAAUUCUCUUGAACUUGACAAUAUUUGGGUUUUAGCUUCUCAAUAAUUAAGCAAUUUCUUAUGUUACCUUACGAAUUACAGGUUCCAGCAAACUCAACCUCAACUGAUUCCUUGGGAGUUCAAUUUAUUAAAAGUCGUGGGUUCUUCCCACAUGCAUACUGGUAUUGGAUAGGCAUAGGCGCAUUGACAGGAUUCACAAUAUUAUUCAACUUGUGUUUCACUUUGGCUCUCACUCACCUUAAUCGUGAGUAUUGUUAUCUUUAAAUUUCAGGUUUUUUUUCUUUCGCUGAAAAUAAGAACGUGUCCUAAUGUCUUGGCAGCAUAUGAGAAGCCCCAUGCUGUUAUAUCUGACGAGCCUGAACGUAGUGACAGAACCGGAGGAGCCAUUCAGUUAUCACAAAAUGGAAGUAGUCAUAGGACAAUCACAGGUAAGUCUCAUUGGUAAUGGGUUCAUCUCAGAUUCAUUUCUUAUGUUCUUAUUAGUUGCUAAUGUAGUACACUCAAUUUCUUUGUAGAGAAUGGAGUUGGAAUUAGGAUGACUGAUGAGGCAAACCAGAAUAAGAAAAAAGGAAUGGUUCUUCCAUUUGAACCACAUUCCAUCACCUUUAAUGAUGUUAUGUACUCUGUUGACAUGCCUCAGGUAUCAAAAAGGAGAAAAAUAUUUCCUUUCAGUGCGAUAUGGUUCAAACAAUGAUGGAAUUUGACCUUGUUACAUUAAACUUUACAGGAAAUGAAAAGUCAAGGAAUUGCUGACGAUAAAUUGGUGCUUUUGAAGGGUGUCAGUGGUGCAUUCAAGCCAGGUGUUCUGACAGCAUUGAUGGGUGUUAGUGGUGCUGGUAAAACUACUCUGAUGGAUGUGCUGGCUGGUAGGAAAACUGGUGGAUAUAUUGAGGGGGACAUCCGAAUUUCUGGGUACCCAAAGAAGCAAGAUACUUUUGCUAGAAUUUCAGGAUAUUGCGAGCAAAAUGACAUCCAUUCCCCACAUGUUACUGUUUAUGAAUCCCUAAUCUACUCGGCUUGGCUUCGUCUAGCCCCUGAAGUUGACCCUGAAACCAGGAAGGUAAAAAUAUACAUCACAAGUCUUCUUUACGCAUCUAGUUUUCAAUGCAAUCUUGUAUACUUCAAACAUCAUCGCUCUUGUGCUUGUUUCCUUUGAGCAUGCCCAGUAUCUGGUGUUUAGUCCAUUCAAAAUGAUUUGCAUUAUGUUGUUUAAAAGGCAUUGAUAUCCCAUACCCUAUGCUUUUAUCUAGUUUGUAGAAACCUGUUUCUUCUACCUGACAAUGCUGUCAAGAUCUCAGUUAUCUUGAAUGUACUUCAUCUGUCAGUAAUACAUUAAAUGGGAGGACUCUCAGUCACACAAAAUUGAUUCUAUGUUUGCAGAUGUUUGUUAACGAAGUUAUGGAGCUUGUGGAACUAAAUCCACUGAGGCAAGCACUAGUUGGAUUGCCUGGAGUGAAUGGUCUGUCUACUGAGCAGCGGAAGCGGCUAACAAUUUCAGUUGAGUUAGUGGCAAACCCCUCCAUAAUAUUCAUGGAUGAGCCAACUUCAGGACUAGAUGCAAGAGCUGCUGCAAUUGUAAUGAGAACAGUUAGAAACACUGUGGACACAGGAAGAACGGUUGUAUGCACCAUCCACCAGCCAAGCAUUGAUCUAUUUGAAGCUUUCGAUGAGGUAAGGAAUGUUUAAAAGAUCAUAAGGUUGAAGAUUUAUUGUGGCUUAAGUUCUUUAUCACUUAUAUGUGUUGCGUAUAUCUUUCCAUUGCAGCUAUUCUUGAUGAAGAGAGGUGGAGAAGAGAUCUAUGUUGGCCCAUUGGGUCGGCAUUCUUGCCAUAUGAUUGACUAUUUUGAGGUACAUUUGAUGUCAUGGAAACGUAAAAAGAACCUUCAUUCAAGUUUUAAAAGACUAUAUUCAUGCUAAUUUCUUUUAAUUAUUCAUUUUGUAAAGGUAAUCGAAGGAGCAAGUAAAGUUAAAGAUGGUUAUAAUCCAGCAACUUGGAUGCUGGAAGUUACCAGUUCUGCACAAGAGUUGUCUUUGGGAGUUGAUUUUGCUACCAUCUACAAGAAUUCAGAGUUGUACAGGUAAACUUGUAAGAAUUACGUAGCGUGCACUAUUAAUGUUUCAAACAGAGGAUAAUAUAUCGCUUAGAAAUUUGUUCUGGUAUUGGUUGCUGAUGUGCGGUACAUUUUUCAGGAGAAACAAAGCAAUUAUUAAAGAAUUAAGCACUUCAGUUCCUGGUUCAAAGGACCUCUAUUUCCCUACACAGUACUCCCAGUCCUUUUUAACCCAAUGCAUAGCUUGCUUAUGGAAGCAACGGUUGUCAUACUGGCGGAAUCCACCAUAUACUGCUGUCAGAUUUCUGUUCACCACCU